Vigna unguiculata (cowpea) is the source of this 479-nucleotide long non-coding RNA. RefSeq lists it as uncharacterized. The record is from RefSeq and is a predicted model, not a curated record. NCBI's taxonomy places the organism in Eukaryota, Viridiplantae, Streptophyta, Magnoliopsida, Fabales, Fabaceae.
UUUACGUAUUUUAAAAUUUUUUAAUUUGGUAUUCGGUCUCUCGUUCUGAAAGUGUUAUUCUAAAGGAUGCAACAACUUUCGCGCGCCUCCCUGCUUUCUCUUUCGAAAAGCUCAAGUGUCGUCAAGUAGUAGCACUGGUAAUGCGACAACUGCAACCAGAGUGUGAUACUCGUUUAUCAAAAUAGAAUAAAGCAGCAAAGAGUGGAGUCUAGAGUGUAGGAGGGCUUGACUCGAAGAGGGGAGGAAAACAACACCUAAAUAGACCGCAACAACACAGAAACCAUGAUUGCUUAUUCUAAUUUGAUUCAUUUCAUAGCUCAGUUCACUUUCUUCAUUUGCUUGUUAAGUGAAAAAGUUGAGAAGGAUCUUCGAAUUUAGAAGAACAUACUCCCUAUAGUUGGCUAGGUACUUUUUCUUGUAUUGAUAUUGUGGUUUUGUAGGAUGAUUUGUUGAACUAAUCUUAUAUAUUUUAAUUUCAA